Long non-coding RNA from Dreissena polymorpha, 979 nucleotides. RefSeq lists it as uncharacterized. The record is from RefSeq and is a predicted model, not a curated record. The transcript has 3 exons. NCBI's taxonomy places the organism in Eukaryota, Metazoa, Mollusca, Bivalvia, Myida, Dreissenidae.
AAUAAGUUUGUUGCAAAGGAGAUUCAAAGUGGAUGGUUAAAGUGAUAUGGUCUCAUAAUUCAUCAACUGCCUGUUAUCUUGGAAUACUGAAGAACAGUUGUUUUAGGUUUGUAUUUUCAUUUUUACAUCACUUUUUUAUUUAGUUUUAUAUUGAAUUAAUUAUGAUCAUUAUCAUAUUUAUGUAUUGUCACUGGGAAAUGUAAAUGGAUAAGUAUAAAUGUAAUGCAAUUAUAAGGAAAAACAACACCAUUUGAAUAAUUAUGGCAGUAUUUUAUGAUUAUUGUCAUCUUAAAUGUUAUUUAUACCUAUUUCUGGUCAUUAAUGAACAGAUUUCUUUCCCACAUAUUCAAUGAAAACUUUUAUAUUUUAAAUUUGAAGGUUAGACUCCCAAGGUGAAAUUUACAUUGAUUGGAAGAUUCUUUGGAUAGAAUAUUCCUGCCAAAAGACAGCAGAAGGGGGACUAACUGAUGUAUGGAUUUUGACACCAGAUUUUACCCUGCACGAGCAGCCCAACUUGAGUAGAUCAGGAGUGGGAAAACCGAGCCCUGUCCUUGACCAAGGAAAGUUGGAUUUGUUGAGAGGACCUGAUCUCAAAUGAGAUCAUGCACAAGACGCACCUCGCAAAGGCCAUGACAGUAUAGUUUUCAGACCUGAUCAGCUGGUGACUGCUCUAUGAAGUGCUGUUGAACCUCCCCUAAGGGGGAGAUUCGAGAGGGUCUCCUGAUUGCUGAACACUACGCCAUGUUGUCAUCUCCAAAAAGUUUGCCCUGCCCAUAUCAACAGUGGAAGAGAACAUGAGAUGGGCCUUGAGGAGGCUUCGUGUCAUGUACUGCGGGGAGAAUAUAUAAACUGUUUAGUGCUGAGCAAUAUGUUCCUUUGUUCAUAGGUGUAAAUAUGUGUAAAGGGCUAUUCCAGGAAAAGAUAGGAUGAAGGAUUCCUUAAUGUUGUCAUUUUAUAAAUCCGGUACCACCAACACAGU